RNAcentral lists this ribosomal RNA (253 nucleotides) under uncultured bacterium. RNAcentral describes it as "partial 16S ribosomal RNA". It matches the Rfam family "Bacterial small subunit ribosomal RNA", at positions 524 to 776 of the family's 1533-position model. The record is from RNAcentral.
UACGAAGGGUGCAAGCGUUACUCGGAAUUACUGGGCGUAAAGCGUGCGUAGGCGGUUUGUUAAGUCUGUCGUGAAAGCCCCGGGCUCAACCUGGGAAUGGCGAUGGAUACUGGCGAGCUAGAGUACGGUAGAGGAGAGUGGAAUUCCCGGUGUGGCAGUGAAAUGCGUAGAGAUCGGGAGGAACAUCAGUUGCGAAGGCGGCUCUCUGGACCAGUACUGACGCUGAGGCACGAAAGCGUGGGGAGCAAACAGG